UACGUAGGCGGCAAGCGUUGUCCGGAAUUAUUGGGCGUAAAGGGAGCGCAGGUGGGACGGUAAGUCCGUCUUAAAAGGCAGGGGCUCAGCCCCUGUAAGGGAUGGAAACUAUCGAUCUUGAGUGCCGGAGAGGAAAGCGGAAUUCCCAGUGUAGCGGUGAAAUGCGUAGAUAUUGGGAAGAACACCAGUGGCGAAGGCGGCUUUCUGGACGGCAACUGACACUGAGGCUC
This 230-nucleotide ribosomal RNA is filed under the name uncultured microorganism. RNAcentral describes it as "partial 16S ribosomal RNA". It matches the Rfam family "Bacterial small subunit ribosomal RNA", at positions 524 to 754 of the family's 1533-position model. The record is from RNAcentral.